Molecule: long non-coding RNA, 789 nt
Filed under: Prunus persica (peach)
Lineage: Eukaryota; Viridiplantae; Streptophyta; Magnoliopsida; Rosales; Rosaceae
Description: long non-coding RNA (PPER_LNC007344)
Source: RNAcentral
AACAAUCUCAUUUGAACGGGGCCUACUACGGCCCCUCAAUCCCACCCAAAUCCCAAGCCUACCACCGCCAUGGCCGUGGCAGCGACCCCCUCGGCUGCUGCUGCGGCUGCAUCUUCAGCCUUAUUUUCAAGCUCAUUAUGACCGCCGUCGUCAUAGUGGGCCUGGCCUUUUUCAUCUUCUGGCUCAUAGUCCGCCCCAACCACAUCAAGUUCCACGUCACCGAAGCCCACCUCACCCAAUUCAACUUCUCCAAUGACAGCACCCUCCACUACAACCUCGCCCUCAACCUCACCAUCCGCAACCCCAACAAGAAGAUCGGGGUCUACUACGACCGCAUCGAGGCCAGGGCCAUCUACGAGGACCAGAGGUUCAGCACGUACACCUCGACGACGCCCUUUUACCAAGGGCACAAGACAACGAACGUGGUGAACCCGGUGUUCCAGGGCCAGCAGGUGAUCCCAGACACGAAAGUGCUCUCCGAGUACAAUGAGCAGAAGAAUAGUGGGGUUUACGAGAUCGACGUCAAGCUUUACCUUCGGGUUCGAUUCAAAUUCGGCUUGAUCAAGACCGGCAAGUUCAAGCCCAGGAUUAAAUGUGGGUUGAAGGUUCCUUUGACUCAGAAUGGGAGCUCAUCAGUUAGCACUUUCGAGACUACCAAGUGUGACGUUGAUUACUUCAAAUCAAUCUAAGCUCCACAGCUUACCACUUCAUAUAUCUUCUUGUUGAUCCAGUCUCAGAUUAUUAUUUUUUUACUAUUCUUUUGUUUUUUUGUUUUUGUGUUUGUGUUGA